AAGCCCCGCAAGGGGCAAGUAGAGUGGCAAACGGGUGAGUAACACGUGGGUGACCUGCCUUCGAGCGGGGGAUAACGUCCCGAAAGGGACGCUAAUACCGCAUGACAUCCUGCUCUUGGACGAGCGGAGAUCAAAGCUGGGGAUCGCAAGACCUGGCGCUUGAAGAGGGGCCCGCGUCUGAUUAGCUAGUUGGUGAGGUAACGGCUCACCAAGGCGACGAUCAGUAUCCGGCCUGAGAGGGCGGACGGACACACUGGGACUGAGACACGGCCCAGACUCCUACGGGAGGCAGCAGUGGGGAAUAUUGCGCAAUGGGCGAAAGCCUGACGCAGCAACGCCGCGUGAGUGAUGAAGGCCUUCGGG
RNAcentral lists this ribosomal RNA (363 nucleotides) under uncultured bacterium. RNAcentral describes it as "bacterial SSU rRNA". It matches the Rfam family "Bacterial small subunit ribosomal RNA", at positions 72 to 422 of the family's 1533-position model. The record is from RNAcentral.